UACGUAGGGUGCAAGCGUUGUCCGGAAUUAUUGGGCGUAAAGAGCUCGUAGGCGGCCUGUUGCGUCCGCUGUGAAAUCCCGGGGCUCAACCCCGGGCCUGCAGUGGAUACGGGCUGGCUAGAGGCAGGCAGGGGAGAACGGAAUUCCGUGGUGUAGCGGUGAAAUGCGCAGAUAUCAGGAGGAACACCGGUGGCGAAGGCGGUCUCUGGCCUGUACUGACGCUGAGGAGCGAAAGCGUGGGGAGCGAACAGG
This 252-nucleotide ribosomal RNA is filed under the name uncultured bacterium. RNAcentral's name for it is "partial 16S ribosomal RNA". It matches the Rfam family "Bacterial small subunit ribosomal RNA", at positions 524 to 776 of the family's 1533-position model. The record is from RNAcentral.